GACCUCAAAUCGGGUGGGACUACCCGCUGAACUUAAGCAUAUCAAUAAGCGGAGGAAAAGAAACUAACAAGGAUUCCCCUAGUAACGGCGAGUGAAGAGGGAAAAGCUCAAAUUUUGAAUCUGGUGUCUUUGACUCCCGAGUUGUAAUCUAGAGAAGUGUUUUCCGUGUCGGACCGUGCACAAGUUCCCUGGAACGGGGCGUCAUAGAGGGUGAGAAUCCCGUAUAUGGCACGGACCGCCGAUGCUCUGUGAUACACUCUCAACGAGUCGAGUUGUUUGGGAAUGCAGCUCAAAAUGGGUGGUAAAUUCCAUCUAAAGCUAAAUAUUGGCGAGAGACCGAUAGCGAACAAGUACCGUGAGGGAAAGAUGAAAAGCACUUUGGAAAGAGAGUGAAACAGUACGUGAAAUUGUUGAAAGGGAAGCGU
Molecule: ribosomal RNA, 425 nt
Filed under: uncultured fungus
Lineage: Eukaryota; Fungi
Description: eukaryotic LSU rRNA
Rfam family: Eukaryotic large subunit ribosomal RNA
Source: RNAcentral